GGGUCGAUUUUUUUUUUUCUUUUUUUGCCAUUUUCUAUUGCACCAGGCUCCGCGUGGGGCUGACCCAUGCUAGGAGUCUAUAAUUCCCAUGUGAAUAUUUCCUCAGUACACAGGGAUUUAUUCUUGGGAAAAUUACGCAAAAACCUACAUUUUAAGUAUACAUUUCACUUAUGAAAUCUUAAACUUUUCUUUUCACAAAUCAAGGAUUAAUUAUUUAAUUAAAAUUUAUUAAACCCACAUCUCACCACUUCUCUCUCCUUAUCACAAAAAUCACAUCUCACCAUUUCUCCCUCCAUCACAGAAAUAACCUCAAAAAUACCUGGCUCCGACAACAAAAACGAGAGAAAAAUUUACUCCAGCGGCCGCGUUUGGAAGGAAAAAAAUGUACUCCAACGGUCGAUCUGCUUUGGGGGUAAAAUCUUGGGGGGUGCGGUGGUGGUGGUACCGAUGGUGAUGUCGGUUGCAGUGAUGUUGGUGGUGUCUAACGAAAGGGUUUGGAGGCGAUCGAAGACCAAGAGAAAGGUUUGGAGGAGGGAACUGGAAGAGCCACCACCAGCAGCCCGUCUCCACCACCAACAGCAAAGUUAUUAUUAUUAAUUAUAGGGAUUAUUUAUAAGUUAGUUUUUAUCAAAUGAAAAAAAUUUGUAGAAUAUUUCAUUCUAGCAAAACGUUAACGAAGCUCAUCGGCCAAUGAGCGAGGUUUAAGGUCGACGAUCAAUGUAUGGCAAUAGGAUCCUCAUUUACAUAUUGUUCGAUCAUGUUGACCAAAAAGGGAUAAAUAUAUUUUGGGCACUCCAAAUUUAUGGUAUGUUUAACUUUAUUAAUCAAGUUAGCAUUUUCUGAUAAAUUUUAUUAGUAGUUUAUGUUUUAUAUGUUAAUUGUGACCUUUGUGACUAAGUCUGUGUUAAUAGUGAUUGGAUGUGCGAAGUCUGUCCGUAUUAAUUGUGAUUGAUUGUGACUAAGUCUAUCUUUAUUAUGACUAUUCGUGACUAGAUCUGUCUUACUUGUGACUGACCAAAUUAACAGUGGCCUGAUUACAUACAUUCGAAUUAGACUGAACUGGUCACAGACAGUCACUUUGAAGACAAACUGGUGUGGAAUGACAAUUUUUUUCAUCCCAUUAUUCUCUUAUCCUAAAAAAGGAAAGAAAGAAAAUGAACGAGAGCUACUUUAACAUCAACCAAUUCUAUUUAUAAUUCCAAUUUUGUGACCUAAAAUGUGUGAUUUGUAAUUAAAUUUGUAAUUGUGACCUAUAAUUUGUGUCUUCGGGAUUGAUAAAUAAAUUCUGAUCAAUUAUUUAAUUAUUUGUGAUCAAGUUUGUGUUAACUGUAAUCUAUUGUGACCAGGUCUGUUUUUACUGUGACUGUACGUGAUCAAGUUUGUAUUGACAAUGACGUGUAAUGAGACAUAUUUUAAAAAUGAUUGUUUGUGACAAACCUGAUUACAUAAAGUGUGUGACCAUUUAUAUGUUACUUGUGACCCUGUGUGACAAAAGUUUGCGUUAUCUUGGACUGGCUGUGACCAAUAAUUUGUUGAAUGUGACAUGUUAUUUGAUUAUGACCUGUUAUCACAAUUAUUAUCAAAAAAUUUAUUUGACCAGAAACUAAUCUAAAUUAAAGACUUAGGUUACAAUCAAUCGUGAUAAUAUUUUAUGGGUGAAUUCAUGAAAUUGUGGCUAAAUGAAUUCGAUUAUUGAAAUUUUGAGAUUUGGAUUCAUCAAUUGUGGGAAAAUACAGGUGAAGCUGAUGAAGGUAAGAGAAUAGUUGAAAAGAUAAUUGAUUAAAAAUGUAUGUUUAUUUUAAAGAUUCUCUAACGAAUAAAUUUAAAUUUUCUCCCAAAAUUCUCCCCUUUGCCCUCUCUCUAGAGUUUCCUCUUUCUCUGUUCUCCAGAUUUUUUAACGAUUAUAAAUUUUAAUUUUUUACCCAGAACUCUCUCUCUCUCUCUCUCUCUCUCUCUCUUUCUCUCUUCCCCCUGCUUAUGGCUUUACUCGUCUCUCUUCUCUGUAGGUUUGUACGCCAUCGUGAAGGAUUUCAUUUUGAAUCCAUGGAGACGACGCUUUUUAUGGAGGUUUAGAGGUAAUUGUGAAGUAUGUUAGAUGGAAUCAAUGAUGAAAAUUUAAACUGGAGUAUGAUUGAAGGGCUUAGGUGAAAAAAGACCGACAAAAGACGAUGGGGAAGUGUUGAAAGAAGCCAAGAAGAUUAGAAGCACGGGUUUGGUUGUGAAUGUAAAGGUGGAGUGUGUGUAUUAUGAUUUAAUACCUGAUUUAUGAAACUUUUUAACAAGUUUGAUAAAUAUGAAAUUGUAUUCUUAAUGUAUUGUAAUUAUGUAUUUUUCCCUUUAUUCUUGUUUAAUACUUUUUUCAUAUUUUCCUUUUUCAGGAGUCGCACAUUUUAUUUUUUUUUAAAUGAAG
RNAcentral lists this long non-coding RNA (2410 nucleotides) under Olea europaea (common olive). RNAcentral's name for it is "long non-coding RNA (OEUR_LNC004845)". The record is from RNAcentral. Lineage: Eukaryota; Viridiplantae; Streptophyta; Magnoliopsida; Lamiales; Oleaceae.